This 74-nucleotide transfer RNA is filed under the name Ignavibacteriaceae bacterium. RNAcentral's name for it is "tRNA-Asn". It matches the Rfam family "tRNA". Rfam says of the family: Transfer RNA (tRNA) molecules are approximately 80 nucleotides in length. Their secondary structure includes four short double-helical elements and three loops (D, anti-codon, and T loops). Lineage: Bacteria; Pseudomonadati; Ignavibacteriota; Ignavibacteria; Ignavibacteriales; Ignavibacteriaceae. The record is from RNAcentral.
UCAGACGUAACACAAAGGCAGAUGUAAUCGGCUGUUAACCGAGAGUAUGUGGGUUCGAAUCCCUCCGUCUGAGC